Molecule: long non-coding RNA, 1369 nt
Organism: Bos taurus (domestic cattle)
Lineage: Eukaryota; Metazoa; Chordata; Mammalia; Artiodactyla; Bovidae
Source: Ensembl
CCCUUCUCCUGGGCUUCUGCAGAGAAUUCUUUCCGCUUUACUGUUGGCGUCCUUAGCACUUUGUUGUUUAUCCUGGUAUAGAGUGCAAAGCUGGCUUGAAACUGAACAUUUAUGCCUGCAUAUCUCCCCAAGGGUGGGAGCUCCCAGUCAGGAAUUAUGGCCUUUGUUUUUUACCUUGGUUUUCUUUCCUCCAGAAUCUUACAAGGAAAGUUCAACAUAAACGAUCUUUGAACAAAUUCCGUUUCGGAUGUAUGUAUGUGUUAGAGGUAGAGGGUGGACCAGGGAGGUGGCCGGCAUUCAGGGCCCCCAGGAGAAAAAGAUGCUGAAUACAGUCUGUCCUCCAUUCGUUCAGAGGUUCCACUUCUGCAGAACUCACAAGAGACUGCAAAGAAAAACCUUAAGAUGACCAAUUGCCUAAAACCUCCACUGAUGAAUGCUCUCUGUGAAGCAAACUGCAUUUUUGCCUUCAACUUAUUAAAAAUGUUGGCUGAAGAGGACCACUCGUGACACGUGUUCUUCUCUCUGCUGAGCCUCUCCUUUGUCCUGACCAUGGUCUUAAUGGGGGCUGAGGGGAACACGGUGGCCCAGAUGUCCCAGGCAAGAAUACUGGAGUUCGUUGCCAUUUCCUUCUCCAGGAGAUCUUCCCGACCCAGGGAUUGAACUCAGGUCUCCUGCAUUGUAGGCAGACACUUUACCAUCUGAGCCACCAGGGAAAUGUGACCCUCAAAUAUAUGGCCAGCUGACUUUCAACCAGCAUCCUGAAAGGAUAGUCUUUUCAACAAGUGGUGGUGGAACAACUAGAGAGCCGAGCACCAAAGUUGUCUGGCCAUCUGGUCGACCUUUCGGCGGUGCUUGCCUGACUACAACCAAACAUGAACACAAAUCUGGAUCGCAGGGCAGAGAAGGCAGAGCACCACCACUCCGCACUCGUUUCUCUUACCUAAGUGUUCUCCCGUCCGCGCGCGUUCAGACGCCCUUCCAGGACUACACACCGCGCCAGGCUCGCGUCUCCUUGGUACCCUCAGUGGAGGGCCCGGGCCGUUUUCUGGAUCUCAAACAUUUGGCGCCUCUGACCACCGAUCCCGUGCAGGACUAAAGCCGCGCAUUGGGCCACCUCCUUGCUCGCCCACCGCGUUCCCUGUUGUCACCCGUGGCGAGGGACUCGUGUGUGGCUCACACAACUUUCGAGCCCGUAAGGGGAACAGAAGAGACUACAGGCGGCCCCCGCGAUGACGCAGCACGGCUUCCGACGAACGCAGAGCUUGAUACGACAGCGGCCGUCGGAGAGCAGCUCCCCCGCCGCCCAGCCCUGGUGCGGACCUGGGCCCCCAGGCGAUCAGGACGUGGGGUUGGGAGAGCCUAGCCUGGG